CCCUGGAAGAAGACCAGGUUGAUCGGCAGGCACUGGAAGACCUGUAAGGGUUUAAGGUUACCUGUACGAAUAGAUUGAG
This 79-nucleotide ribosomal RNA is filed under the name Candidatus Woesebacteria bacterium RIFOXYB1_FULL_41_13. RNAcentral's name for it is "partial 23S ribosomal RNA". It matches the Rfam family "Bacterial large subunit ribosomal RNA", at positions 2835 to 2912 of the family's 2925-position model. The record is from RNAcentral. Lineage: Bacteria; Candidatus Woeseibacteriota.